AGAUUGAUACAGCAGGAGUGGGAGCCGUUUAUUGUAGGACAGGAGGGGUAUUUAUACAUUCCACACAGCUUAUCUUAAUUAGCAUAAACUAGAUACAUCAGUCAACCAAUAAGGAAUCUCCACACUUAAUGGCUUGCUGGUGUUACUUCACAAACCACUCCCUCUGGCGAAAUGCCAGGUGCCAUCCAGACUUGUUUACAGACUCUAACACCCUCCCAGUAUUUUAUGGUGGUUGAUAACAAGUUGGGAAACCAUGUAGUUCAGCACGUACACCCCUCUUGGCUUAAACCAAUCAGUUCAAAUGAAUACCCCUUUUGUACUGACCAAUCACCCCUACCCAACUUGUUCCUGCCAGUGAAUGUGCUAAUCAUGUUUUAGAGUUGUUAUUUGAUUUUCCCGCCGUGUGUGAUGAUUUGCUAAGGGAUGCUAUGAUGUAUGUGAAGUCCCUGCCUUCUCCAAAGAAUGUAUAAAACUGCUGCAAACCCUGGGC
RNAcentral lists this long non-coding RNA (490 nucleotides) under Marmota monax (woodchuck). The record is from RNAcentral. Lineage: Eukaryota; Metazoa; Chordata; Mammalia; Rodentia; Sciuridae.